UGGGGAAUAUUGCACAAUGGGCGAAAGCCUGAUGCAGCAACGCCGCGUGAGCGAUGAAGGCCUUCGGGUCGUAAAGCUCUGUCCUCAAGGAAGAUAAUGACGGUACUUGAGGAGGAAGCCCCGGCUAACUACGUGCCAGCAGCCGCGGUAAUACGUAGGGGGCUAGCGUUAUCCGGAAUUACUGGGCGUAAAGGGUGCGUAGGUGGUUUUUUAAGUCAGAAGUGAAAGGCUACGGCUCAACCGUAGUAAGCUUUUGAAACUGAGAAACUUGAGUGCAGGAGAGGAGAGUAGAAUUCCUAGUGUAGCGGUGAAAUGCGUAGAUAUUAGGAGGAAUACCAGUUGCGAAGGCGGCUCUCUGGACUGUAACUGACACUGAGGCACGAAAGCGUGGGGAGCAAACAGGAUUAGAUACCCCCGUAGUCC
RNAcentral lists this ribosomal RNA (423 nucleotides) under uncultured bacterium. Its description in RNAcentral is "bacterial SSU rRNA". It matches the Rfam family "Bacterial small subunit ribosomal RNA", at positions 355 to 796 of the family's 1533-position model. The record is from RNAcentral.